Molecule: ribosomal RNA, 417 nt
Filed under: uncultured bacterium
Lineage: Bacteria
Description: bacterial SSU rRNA
Rfam family: Bacterial small subunit ribosomal RNA
Source: RNAcentral
UGGGGAAUAUUGGGCAAUGGGCGCAAGCCUGACCCAGCAACGCCGCGUGAAGGAAGAAGGCUUUCGGGUUGUAAACUUCUUUUGUCAGUGAAGAAGCAAGUGACGGUAGCUAAGGAAUAAGCAUCGGCUAACUACGUGCCAGCAGCCGCGGUAAUACGUAGGAUGCGAGCGUUAUCCGGAAUUACUGGGUGUAAAGGGAGCGCAGGCGGGACUGCAAGUUGGAUGUGAAAUACCGCAGCUUAACUGCGGAGCUGCAUCCAAAACUGUAGUUCUUGAGUGGAGUAGAGGCAAGCGGAAUUCCGAGUGUAGCGGUGAAAUGCGUAGAUAUUCGGAGGAACACCAGUGGCGAAGGCGGCUUGCUGGGCUCUAACUGACGCUGAGGCUCGAAAGUGUGGGGAGCAAACAGGAUUAGAUACC